This 484-nucleotide ribosomal RNA is filed under the name uncultured bacterium. RNAcentral's name for it is "bacterial SSU rRNA". It matches the Rfam family "Bacterial small subunit ribosomal RNA", at positions 30 to 507 of the family's 1533-position model. The record is from RNAcentral.
AUUGAACGCUGGCGGAAUGCUUUACACAUGCAAGUCGAACGGCAGCACGGACUUCGGUCUGGUGGCGAGUGGCGAACGGGUGAGUAAUGUAUCGGAACGUGCCCAGUCGUGGGGGAUAACGUAGUGAAAAUUACGCUAAUACCGCAUACGAUCUAUGGAUGAAAGCGGGGGACCGUAAGGCCUCGCGCGAUUGGAGCGGCCGAUAUCAGAUUAGGUAGUUGGUGAGGUAAAGGCUCACCAAGCCGACGAUCUGUAGCUGGUCUGAGAGGACGACCAGCCACACUGGGACUGAGACACGGCCCAGACUCCUACGGGAGGCAGCAGUGGGGAAUUUUGGACAAUGGGCGCAAGCCUGAUCCAGCCAUUCCGCGUGCAGGACGAAGGCCUUCGGGUUGUAAACUGCUUUUGUACAGAACGAAAAGCUCUGGGUUAAUACCCUGGGGUCAUGACGGUACUGUAAGAAUAAGCACCGGCUAACUACGUG